CUCAUGGAUUUGUUCUCAGGAAUGACAUUUUUCGAAGCUGUACAGCUUAUGUGCAAGGCAUCGUUGGAUUCUUCUGCGGCAAUGUUCGAUGACUUUUUAACCAUGAAUGCAAACAACGAGGAGGAAGUUGAGGAGACAAAAGCCAAAUUAAUGGAGUGUCAUGUGAGGGUUUUCAAAGAAUAGGUGGCGUGUCGUGCUGCCCCCUGCUGCGGUAACCAUUACUGCGACAACCAGUAUUGCAAUUUGCAUUUCAGUCCAAUAAAUCUGAAACGUAAAAGCGAUAGUG
Molecule: long non-coding RNA, 286 nt
Organism: Dermacentor silvarum
Lineage: Eukaryota; Metazoa; Arthropoda; Arachnida; Ixodida; Ixodidae
Exons: 3
Source: RefSeq, a predicted model, not a curated record